RNAcentral lists this non-coding RNA (29 nucleotides) under Mus musculus (house mouse). The record is from RNAcentral. Lineage: Eukaryota; Metazoa; Chordata; Mammalia; Rodentia; Muridae.
CACAUAGUGGACCCUGGGAGUAGGGAGCC